CACGUAGGGGGCAAGCGUUGUCCGGAUUCAUUGGGCGUAAAGAGCUCGUAGGCGGUUCGAUAAGUCGGGUGUGAAACCUCCAGGCUCAACCUGGAGACGCCACCCGAUACUGUCGUGACUAGAGUCCAGUAGGGGAGCGUGGAAUUCCUGGUGUAGCGGUGAAAUGCGCAGAUAUCAGGAGGAACACCAGCGGCGAAGGCGGCGCUCUGGGCUGGCACUGACGCUGAGGAGCGAAAGCGUGGGGAGCAAACAGG
RNAcentral lists this ribosomal RNA (254 nucleotides) under uncultured bacterium. Its description in RNAcentral is "partial 16S ribosomal RNA". It matches the Rfam family "Bacterial small subunit ribosomal RNA", at positions 524 to 776 of the family's 1533-position model. The record is from RNAcentral.